Molecule: ribosomal RNA, 301 nt
Filed under: uncultured bacterium
Lineage: Bacteria
Description: partial 16S ribosomal RNA
Rfam family: Bacterial small subunit ribosomal RNA
Source: RNAcentral
CAGUAGCCACGGUAAUACGAAGGGGGCUAGCGUUGUUCGGAAUCACUGGGCGUAAAGCGCACGUAGGCGGAUACUUAAGUCAGGGGUGAAAUCCCGGGGCUCAACCUCGGAACUGCCUUUGAUACUGGGUAUCUUGAGUCCGGGAGAGGUUGGUGGAACUCCGAGUGUAGAGGUGAAAUUCGUAGAUAUUCGGAAGAACACCAGUGGCGAAGGCGGCCAACUGGCCCGGUACUGACGCUGAGGUGCGAAAGCGUGGGGGGCAAACAGGAUUAGAUACCCGUGUAGUCCCUGUCUCUUAUAC